RNAcentral lists this transfer RNA (97 nucleotides) under Desulfitobacterium sp. RNAcentral describes it as "tRNA-Sec". It matches the Rfam family "Selenocysteine transfer RNA". Lineage: Bacteria; Bacillati; Bacillota; Clostridia; Eubacteriales; Desulfitobacteriaceae. The record is from RNAcentral.
GGGAAUGGAUGAAUCCCGGUGGGUUCCGCGGACUUCAAAUCCGUUGUCGGGUGGGUGAUCCGGCCGAGGUAGGUUCGACUCCUACACAUUCCCGCCA